GACGAACGCUGGCGGCGUGCUUAACACAUGCAAGUCGAACGGAAAGGCCCUGCUUUUGUGGGGUGCUCGAGUGGCGAACGGGUGAGUAACACGUGAGUAACCUGCCCUUGACUUUGGGAUAACUUCAGGAAACUGGGGCUAAUACCGGAUAGGAGCUCCUGCUGCAUGGUGGGGGUUGGAAAGUUUCGGCGGUUGGGGAUGGACUCGCGGCUUAUCAGCUUGUUGGUGGGGUAGUGGCUUACCAAGGCUUUGACGGGUAGCCGGCCUGAGAGGGUGACCGGCCACAUUGGAACGGGGAUACGGCCCAGACUCCUACGGGAGGAAGCGGUGGGGAAUAUUGCAAAAUGGGCGGAAGCCUGAGGAGGAAACGCGGGGGGGGGAAUGACGCCCUUCGGGUUGAAAACCGCUUUCGCCGGGAACGAAGCGUGGGUGACGGUAAUGGGUAAGGAAGCACCGGCUAAUUACGU
RNAcentral lists this ribosomal RNA (467 nucleotides) under uncultured bacterium. Its description in RNAcentral is "partial 16S ribosomal RNA". It matches the Rfam family "Bacterial small subunit ribosomal RNA", at positions 28 to 506 of the family's 1533-position model. The record is from RNAcentral.